Triticum aestivum (bread wheat) is the source of this 138-nucleotide non-coding RNA. NCBI's taxonomy places the organism in Eukaryota, Viridiplantae, Streptophyta, Magnoliopsida, Poales, Poaceae. The record is from Rfam.
ACGAAGUUCCUUUGGCUAAGAAGUACUACUUGUCAUCAAAAUCGAUAAAAGGAGAUGUAUCUAGACGUAUUUUAGUUCUAGAUACGUCCCUUUUUAUCCAUUUUGAUGACCAGUAUUUUCGAACGGAGGGAGCUUGUA